RNAcentral lists this long non-coding RNA (394 nucleotides) under Ananas comosus (pineapple). RNAcentral describes it as "long non-coding RNA (ACOM_LNC005225)". Lineage: Eukaryota; Viridiplantae; Streptophyta; Magnoliopsida; Poales; Bromeliaceae. The record is from RNAcentral.
GAAAACGGGAAAAAUUUUGACCCGCCCCGAAUCCGCCCCGAAAAUCAUUUAUAUUUUAAAAAAAUAUUUCUAAAAAAUAAUGUAUUUACAAAAAAGUUCAAAAUAUAAAUAAGUUAGUACUCUCAUUUCUAAUGUAUUUGAAAUUUUUGAAUUUUGUUUUGAAUUUUGAUUAAUAUUUUUGAUUUUUAUAAUUGAUAUUGUUAAAUUAUAUAUAAUAUUAUUAAAAAUUAUUAUUUUAUAUUUUACAAAAUAUUAAUAAUAUUAUAAUUUUAUAAAAAAUAUUAGUUGGCGGGGCGGAUUCGGGGCGCCGGCGGGAGGCAGUUACGAGGCGGGGUGGAUUAUGGAAUGAAAUUUUUAACCCAUCACGUAUACGGGACAGGAGGCGGGGCGGGAU